RNAcentral lists this ribosomal RNA (444 nucleotides) under uncultured bacterium. Its description in RNAcentral is "partial 16S ribosomal RNA". It matches the Rfam family "Bacterial small subunit ribosomal RNA", at positions 338 to 795 of the family's 1533-position model. The record is from RNAcentral.
CCUACGGGAGACAGCAGUGGGGAAUAUUGGGCAAUGGAGGAAACUCUGACCCAGCAAUGCCGCGUGAAUGAAGAAGGUCUUCGGAUUGUAAAGUUCUUUAGUCAGGGAAGAAGUCAAUGCCGGUACCUGAAGAAUAAGCUCCGGCUAACUACGUGCCAGCAGCCGCGGUAAUACGUAGGGAGCAAGCGUUGUUCGGAAUGACUGGGCGGAAAGGGUGCGUAGGCGGUUGUACAAGUUAGAAUGGAAAUACCCAGGGCUUAACUCGGGUGCUGCUUCUGAAACUGUAUGACUUGAGUGCAGUAGAGGUUAGUGGAAUGCGUGGUGUAGCGGUGGAAUGCAUAGAUAUUACGAGGAACACCAGAGGCGAAGGCGGCUAACUGGAGUGCAACUGACGCUGAGGCACGAAAGUGUGGGGAGCAAACAGGAUUAGAUACCCCGGUAGUC